GUUACCUUCAGGUUUUUCACUUGCGAUUGGUGUCGAUCUGUCUGCGUCGUUUCUACCGUUUUUCUACACUCAUCGCAUUUCGUACACUGAAGUCGUUGGCUGUGCACGUCAUUUAUAAUGAAAAUCGCAGAGCCACCCAACCCAUGUAAUUAGGUGACUAUCGUAAUCUGAAACAUGGGUCACCAUAGGAUACACAAGAUAACGGGGAACCUUCCUUUCAAGGAUUCUAGGAAGGACUGCUGUUGCUACUCUCCUACAUGAAGCGCGGAAAAUUUGGACGAGAAUUGCUAUGCAGAAUAUACAGAGAAAACCUACAUAAAGAAACCAGAAGUACUACAGUGAGCAAACAUCUCUUCUGCACAGUUUGCAUGAAGGGAGCAGUGACGCGCUAACGCAAGCUGACAAGGGAGUAGGUUCAAUGGAUACGUGGAACAAGUGACAUACUCUAUUGGCUCAAACUUCCUAUACACCGGCUGCACUGGCUGAAAAUGUGAAACUCCAUGGAGUACCACGGAGACGCAAUCGCAGUGAAAGAAUCAUGUCCAACUUGAGGAAAAUUAUGAUCAUCUCGAGUCUUUUGGACGUUUCAAUCUUUACAAUAUGAUACUGACAGAUAGUGGAAUUCGUAUGUACAUAAAUUAAAAGAGGUACGUAGAUAGGACAUUGAGAGAGUACCUUCUGCGGAUCAAGUAUUGUAUGCGUUGAGAUACAUAUACUUUUCUUUUGUUAGAAGGAGAUUAUGAACAAUUUUUUGAUGGGGGACCAAGAGAUUUGAUUGCUUGGUCCCUCAAACCGGAUUGUAACAAAUUAAAAAAAAAAUAAUUUUAUGUUGUAUUACUAUUUCGUUUUGCAGGUAAAGAGAACAAAAUUGACUUACCAAAGUCAUCAUUGUGCUGCACAAUAUCAAAGGAACUAGUAGUGAUCGCAUGUCUGUCUAUUAAUGGUAUAAUUUUUGUUUAAUCCUAGGCUUAAUAGAAGUGAUCAGCAAUUAUAUUUAUUUAGGCAAAUUGUGUGAAUUUGAAUAUAUUAUAUCAAAUAUAAUAAAAAAAUUAUACAAUUUUAA
Photinus pyralis (common eastern firefly) is the source of this 1063-nucleotide long non-coding RNA. RefSeq lists it as uncharacterized. The record is from RefSeq and is a predicted model, not a curated record. Lineage: Eukaryota; Metazoa; Arthropoda; Insecta; Coleoptera; Lampyridae. The transcript is spliced from 10 exons.